Long non-coding RNA from Hippocampus comes (tiger tail seahorse), 345 nucleotides. RefSeq lists it as uncharacterized. Lineage: Eukaryota; Metazoa; Chordata; Actinopteri; Syngnathiformes; Syngnathidae. The record is from RefSeq and is a predicted model, not a curated record. The transcript has 3 exons.
GUGAGUGUGGCAGCCUUGGUAAGAAGGCUUCGACAUUUCGUCUUCUCUUUGUCAGUCACAUGACUUCAGCAGUGCUGUGCUCCCCCUCAGGUUGUGUUUAUCAAGAAGAGAAUGAGAUUAGAUGAGCUGCGCCACCAGCUGAUUCCUGUGUACAGCUACGACCCUGCAGAGGAAGAUCACCGCUGGGUGGAUGGUCAGCUGGAGAUUGACGAAGAGUCGAAAGAACCACUGUACAAGGAAGGACAACUUCAUUUACUGUAAAUUGAGGCGAUUGAGUCUGAAAUACAUAAAUGAUACUUCAUAACAUCAAUAAUAAAUAAUGUGUUAUUAAAACCAAAGGCAAAA